This 74-nucleotide transfer RNA is filed under the name Bacteroidota bacterium. RNAcentral's name for it is "tRNA-Ile". It matches the Rfam family "tRNA". Rfam says of the family: Transfer RNA (tRNA) molecules are approximately 80 nucleotides in length. Their secondary structure includes four short double-helical elements and three loops (D, anti-codon, and T loops). Further hydrogen bonds mediate the characteristic L-shaped molecular structure. tRNAs have two regions of fundamental functional importance: the anti-codon, which is responsible for specific mRNA codon recognition, and the 3' end, to which the tRNAs corresponding amino acid is attached (by aminoacyl-tRNA synthetases). tRNAs cope with the degeneracy of the genetic code in two manners: having more than one tRNA (with a specific anti-codon) for a particular amino acid; and 'wobble' base-pairing, i.e. permitting non-standard base-pairing at the 3rd anti-codon position. The record is from RNAcentral. RNAcentral also lists the same sequence under 1 other name. Lineage: Bacteria; Pseudomonadati; Bacteroidota.
GGGCCAAUAGCUCAGUUGGUUAGAGCAUCUGACUCAUAAUCAGAGGGUCCGGGGUUCGAGUCCCUGUUGGCCCA